RNAcentral lists this ribosomal RNA (487 nucleotides) under uncultured bacterium. RNAcentral describes it as "partial 16S ribosomal RNA". It matches the Rfam family "Bacterial small subunit ribosomal RNA", at positions 28 to 507 of the family's 1533-position model. The record is from RNAcentral.
GGCGAACGCUGGCGGCGUGCUUAACACAUGCAAGUCGAACGGGCUCUGUCUGGCUGUGUGCUGGGUGGGGUUAGUGGCGAACGGGUGAGUAAUACGUGAGUAACCUGCCCUCUUCUUUGGGAUAAGCCUUGGAAACGGGGUCUAAUACUGGAUAUUCCUGUCUGGUCGCAUGGCUGGGUGGGGAAAGUUUUUUUCGGUGGGGGAUGGGCUCGCGGCCUAUCAGCUUGUUGGUGGGGUGAUGGCCUACCAAGGCGUCGACGGGUAGCCGGCCUGAGAGGGUGACCGGCCACACUGGGACUGAGAUACGGCCCAGACUCCUACGGGAGGCAGCAGUGGGGGAUAUUGCACAAUGGGCGCAAGCCUGAUGCAGCGACGCCGCGUGGGGGAUGACGGCUUUCGGGUUGUAAACCUCUUUCGUCGGGGGACAAGGCUCUGCUUGGUGGUGGGGUUGAGGGUACCCGGUGAAGAAGCGCCGGCUAACUACGUG